AGGACGAACGCUGGCGGCGUGCUUAACACACGCAAGUCGAGCGGUAAGGCCUUUCGGGGUACACGAGCGGCGAACGGGUGAGUAACACGUGGGUGAUCUGCCCUGCACUUCGGGAUAAGCCUGGGAAACUGGGUCUAAUACCGGAUAUGACCUCAGGUUGCAUGACUUGGGGUGAAAGAUUUAUCGGUGCAGGAUGGGCCCGCGGCCUAUCAGCUUGUUGGUGGGUAAUGGCCUACCAAGGCGACGACGGGUAGCCGACCUGAGAGGUGACCGGCCACACUGGGACUGAGACACGGUCCAGACUCCUACGGGAGGCAGCAGUGGGAAUUUGGACAAUGGGCGCAAGCCUGAUCCAGCAAUGCCGCGUGCAGGAAGAAGGCCUUCGGUUGUAAACUGUCUUUGUAC
RNAcentral lists this ribosomal RNA (405 nucleotides) under uncultured soil bacterium. Its description in RNAcentral is "bacterial SSU rRNA". It matches the Rfam family "Bacterial small subunit ribosomal RNA", at positions 26 to 441 of the family's 1533-position model. The record is from RNAcentral.